Molecule: long non-coding RNA, 360 nt
Organism: Cataglyphis hispanica
Lineage: Eukaryota; Metazoa; Arthropoda; Insecta; Hymenoptera; Formicidae
Exons: 3
Source: RefSeq, a predicted model, not a curated record
ACAUCUUGCAUGUUUGCGCUAUGAGAAGGCCUGGAUACGGCACCGGAGAUAAAUUUUCUAACCUCGGCCAGAAUGUCCUGAGGCGACAAAGUCGUUGUGUUGUGCAGCAUUUUCGAAUCGUCUACAAUAAUGCUUCAAUUAAUAUAUAACGUGGAAGGAAUUAUGUAUUCUUGGAAGUAAAAAGCCUUCAAAUGUCAGUAUAAAUAAUCAUAAAAUAACAUUCUACAUCACUUGGAUCAUCCUGCAAUUGUAACAAUUAUUGCAGUAGGCAUAAAGAAGAAAUUACAUUCUCAACAAUUUGACAUAAUCACAAGAUAGUACCUUCAAAGCUGCCACACCGUCGGAUGGACCUGCCUGAUA